This 484-nucleotide ribosomal RNA is filed under the name uncultured bacterium. RNAcentral's name for it is "partial 16S ribosomal RNA". It matches the Rfam family "Bacterial small subunit ribosomal RNA", at positions 30 to 507 of the family's 1533-position model. The record is from RNAcentral.
AUUGAACGCUGGCGGCAGGCCUAACACAUGCAAGUCGAGCGGAUGAAGGGAGCUUGCUCCUGGAUUCAGCGGCGGACGGGUGAGUAAUGCCUAGGAAUCUGCCUGGUAGUGGGGGAUAACGUCCGGAAACGGGCGCUAAUACCGCAUACGUCCUGAGGGAGAAAGUGGGGGAUCUUCGGACCUCACGCUAUCAGAUGAGCCUAGGUCGGAUUAGCUAGUUGGUGGGGUAAAGGCCUACCAAGGCGACGAUCCGUAACUGGUCUGAGAGGAUGAUCAGUCACACUGGAACUGAGACACGGUCCCGACUCCUACGGGAGGCAGCAGUGGGGAAUAUUGGACGAUGGGCGAAAGCCUGAUCCAGCCAUGCCGCGUGUGUGAAGAAGGUCUUCGGAUUGUAAAGCACUUUAAGUUGGGGGGAAGGGCAGUAAGUUAAUACCUUGCUGUUUUGACGUUACCAACAGAAUAAGCACCGGCUAACUUCGUG